RNAcentral lists this ribosomal RNA (560 nucleotides) under uncultured cyanobacterium. Its description in RNAcentral is "bacterial SSU rRNA". It matches the Rfam family "Bacterial small subunit ribosomal RNA", at positions 373 to 1373 of the family's 1533-position model. The record is from RNAcentral. Lineage: Bacteria; Bacillati; Cyanobacteriota.
AGAUGGCGAACCUGACGGACAAUACGCGUGAGGGAGGAAGGCUCUUGGGUUGUAAACCUCUUUUCUCAGGGAAGAACACAAUGACGGUACCUGUAGGAAUAAGCAUCGGCUAACUCCGUGCCAGCAGCCGCGGUAAUACGGAGGAUGCAAGCGUUAUCCGGAAUGAUUGGGCGUAAAGCGUCCGCAGGUGGCUUUGCAAGUCUGCUGUCAAAGCUCAGGGCUUAACCCUGAAUCGGCGGUGGAAACUGAAAGGCUAGAGUGCGGUAGGGGCAGAGGGAAUUCCCAGUGUAGCGGUGAAAUGCGUAGAGAUUGGGAAGAACACCAGUGGCGAAAGCGCUCUGCUAGACCGCAACUGGACACUCAUGGACGAAAGCUAGGGGAGCGAAUGGGAUUAGAUACCCCAGUAGUCCUAGCCGUAAACGAUGGAUACUAGGCGUUGAGAGUAUCGACCCUCUCAGUGUCGUAGCUAACGCGUUAAGUAUCCCGCCUGGGGAGUACGCACGCCAAGUGUGAAACUCAAAGGAAUUGACGGGACUCCCCCUUUCUUCCCCUUCACUUUC